CCUACGGGAGGCAGCAGUGAGGAAUAUUGGUCAAUGGACGGAAGUCUGAACCAGCCAUGCAGCGUGCAGGAAGACGGCUCGAUGAGUUGUAAACUGCUUUUGUACAAGGGUAAACCUGAAGACGUGUAUGCAGCUGAAAGGACUGUACGAAGAAGGAUCGGCUAACUCCGUGCCAGCAGCCGCGGUAAUACGGAGGAUCCAAGCGUUAUCCGGAUUUAGUGGGUUUAAAGGGUGCGUAGGCGGAUUGAUAAGUUAGAGGUGAAAUGUCCGAGCUUAACUCGGGAACUGCCUCUAAUACUGUUGAUCUCGAGCGUAGCUGCGGUAGGCGGAAUGUCUUGUGUAGCGG
Molecule: ribosomal RNA, 346 nt
Filed under: uncultured bacterium
Lineage: Bacteria
Description: partial 16S ribosomal RNA
Rfam family: Bacterial small subunit ribosomal RNA
Source: RNAcentral